GGGGGCGAAAAGGGCUCGACGGGGGUCGAGAAGCAGGAAGUGCAGGCCGGGGACCCGUGACCUCGUCAAAAAAGCGGGAACUAUCAUCUGCCAACGAGCAGAUGGCUCUCGCUGCCUAGGUAACCCCUAGCUGCAGCGACGGUCGCCCGGAUCCCGCCCGUGGGGUCCGGUGCGAGCGUCAGACAAACGCGGGCUGGUCCAACGCCCUCGCUCGUGGGCCGCGGACGAGAUCCAAUCGAGCUGGCGCGCCGCUGAUCCCGCCGGUCGGAGCGGAGGCGCGCGAGACUUAAUCGGCCGGACACGCCUGUAGCAUCUUCUCGAGGACCGACGUUCGGACGCGGGUUCGAUUCCCGCCGCCUCCACCA
This 365-nucleotide transfer-messenger RNA is filed under the name bacterium. Its description in RNAcentral is "WS-11 sp016178725 Standard tmRNA". It matches the Rfam family "transfer-messenger RNA". From Rfam's summary of the family: Bacterial tmRNA, also known as 10Sa RNA or SsrA, is named for its dual tRNA and mRNA-like properties. The record is from RNAcentral. RNAcentral also lists the same sequence under 1 other name.